Molecule: ribosomal RNA, 465 nt
Filed under: uncultured bacterium
Lineage: Bacteria
Description: partial 16S ribosomal RNA
Rfam family: Bacterial small subunit ribosomal RNA
Source: RNAcentral
GACGAACGCUGGCGGCGUGCUUAACACAUGCAAGUCGAACGGAAAGGCCCCUUUGGGGGUACUCGAGUGGCGAACGGGUGAGUAACACGUGAGUAACCUGCCCUUGACUUCGGGAUAACUUCAGGAAACUGGGGCUAAUACCGGAUAGGAAUCCUUGCUGCAUGGUGGGGGUUGGAAAGCUUCGGCGGUUUUGGAUGGACUCGCGGCUUAUCAGCUUGUUGGUGGGGUAGUGGCUUACCAAGGCUUUGACGGGUAGCCGGCCUGAGAGGGCGACCGGCCACAUUGGGACUGCGAUACGGCCCAGACUCCUACGGGAGGCAGCAGUGGGGAAUAUUGCACAAUGGGCGGAAGCCUGAUGCAGCAACGCCGCGUGCGGGAUGACGGCCUUCGGGUUGUAAACCGCUUUCAGCAGGGGCGAAGCUUGUGGUGACGGUACCUGCAGAAGAAGCACCGGCUAACUACGUG